Molecule: small RNA, 2994 nt
Filed under: Pan troglodytes (chimpanzee)
Lineage: Eukaryota; Metazoa; Chordata; Mammalia; Primates; Hominidae
Description: processed transcript
Source: RNAcentral
UUAAACUUUGCGAGAGCAUUUGGGCCCACAGUCACCGCUGGCUGAAGCAGAUGGGAUGCCUGGUCCAAGGUCACGAUUAUUAAAGUAGACACACGGGGCACUUUGACCCACCUGUAGUACAUUUCUUUCACAGCAAGGCAGUGCAACCGGUAGCACAUCGGGCUCUUUUAGAUGCUGCUCCAGCCUUGGUCCGGUGGAUCAUGCUUGGUUUAGAAGCUGGGUUGUCUUUUUCCUGCCCCCAGUCCUGUCUUUGCUUUUAUAGUGCGUCAUACACCACGUAGAACCGAGCCAGGUUCCUGCCAUGUGGACGCUGUUCCUGCCUGAGAGUCUCUUAGAGGAAGGCUGGGAACACUGUGUGGAAAGACUGGGCAUCUCUGCAGGCAGAGCUGAAUGGAUGUGAAACCCCUGUGGGCAUGUGCUUCCGAGUUCCUCAGCAGGCAUUUGUGUUUUUUGGUAGAAAGUUUGCCUUUUUUUUUUUUUUUUUUUUAAGACAAGGUCUCAUUCUGUCACCCAGGCUAGAGUACAGUGGUGUGAUCAUAGCUCACUGCCGUCCUUGAACUCUCAGACUCACGUGAGCCUCCUACCUCAGCCUCCUGAGUAGCUGAGACUACAGGCGCAUGCCGCCACCCCUGGCUAAUAUUUUUAUUUUUUGCAGAGACAGGGGUCUCACUACAUUGCCCAGGCUGGUCUCAAACUCCUGGCCUCAAGCAAUCCUCUCACAGCCUCCCAAAGUGCUGGUAUUACAGGUGUGAGCCACCACACCUAACAAAAGUUUGCUUUUUAUCUAAAAUGACCCAGGCAUUGUCACUGUACUGCUAUUUUUUUUUUUUAAUGUUGUUGUUUUGUUGUUGUUGUCGUCGUUAUAUAGAUGAGGGCUUCCUGUGUUGCCCAGGCUGGUUUCUGACGCCUGGCCUCGCCUCCUUAUACACCAGGACAGCAGGACUGAGCCACCACACUACCCAACUGCUUUUAUCUCAGUGAAUGAAAAUGACACUUGCCUGGAGGCUUCCCCUCAUCUACCCCCAUGUUUCUCUAUUUAUUCCUCAGUUAAGUGGGCAGACCAACAUCCACCUCAGCAAAAACUUCUUCCUGACGAAUCGCGCCAGGGAGCGCUCAGACACCUUCAUCAACCUCCGGGAGGUGCUCAACCGCUUCAAGCUGCCGCCAGGAGAGUACAUUCUCGUGCCUUCCACCUUCGAACCCAACAAGGAUGGGGAUUUCUGCAUCCGGGUCUUUUCUGAAAAGAAAGCUGACUACCAAGCUGUCGAUGAUGAAAUCGAGGCCAAUCUUGAAGAGUUCGACAUCAGCGAGGAUGACAUUGAUGAUGGAUUCAGGAGACUGUUUGCCCAGUUGGCAGGAGAGGAUGCGGAGAUCUCUGCCUUUGAGCUGCAGACCAUCCUGAGAAGGGUUCUAGCAAAGCGCCAAGAUAUCAAGUCAGAUGGCUUCAGCAUCGAGACAUGCAAAAUUAUGGUUGACAUGCUAGAUUCGGACGGGAGUGGCAAGCUGGGGCUGAAGGAGUUCUACAUUCUCUGGACGAAGAUUCAAAAAUACCAAAAAAUUUACCGAGAAAUCGACGUUGACAGGUCUGGUACCAUGAAUUCCUAUGAAAUGCGGAAGGCGUUAGAAGAAGCAGGUUUCAAGAUGCCCUGUCAACUCCACCAAGUCAUCGUUGCUCGGUUUGCAGAUGACCAGCUCAUCAUCGAUUUUGAUAAUUUUGUUCGGUGUUUGGUUCGGCUGGAAACGCUAUUCAAGAUAUUUAAGCAGCUGGAUCCCGAGAAUACUGGAACAAUAGAGCUCGACCUUAUCUCUUGGCUCUGUUUCUCAGUACUUUGAAGUUAUAACUAAUCUGCCUGAAGACUUCUCAUGAUGGAAAAUCAGCCAAGGACUAAGCUUCCAUAGAAAAACACUUUGUAUCUGGACCUCAAAAUUAUGGGAACAUUUACUUAAACGGAUGAUCAUAGCUGAAAAUAAUGAUACUGUCAAUUUGAGAUAGCAGAAGUUUCACACAUCAAAGUAAAAGAUUUGCAUAUCAUUAUACUAAAUGCAAAUGAGUCGCUUAACCCUUGACAAGGUCAAAGAAAGCUUUAAAUCUGUAAAUAGUAUACACUUUUUACUUUUACACACUUUCCUGUUCAUAGCAAUAUUAAAUCAGGAAAAAAAAAUGCAGGGAGGUAUUUAACAGCUGAGCAAAAACACUGAGUCACUCUCAAAGGACACGAGGCCCUUGGCAGGGAAUAUUUAAAGCAACUUCAAGUUUAAAACACAGCUGUUGAUUCUACCAAACAACAGUCCAAGAUUACCAUUUCCCAUGAGCCAACUGGGAAACAUGGUAUAUCAUGAAGUAAUCUUGUCAAGGCAUCUGGAGAGUCCAGGAGAGAAGACUCACCUCUGUCGCUUGGGUUAAACAAGAGACAGGUUUUGUAGAAUACUGAUUGGUAAUAGUAAAUCGUUCUCCUUACAAUCAAGUUCUUGACCCUAUUCUGCCUUAUACAUCUGGUCUUACAAAGACCAAAGGGAUCCUGCGCUUGAUCAACUGAACCAGUAUGCCAAAACCAGGCAUCCAAUUUGUAAACCAAUUAUGAUUAAGGACAAAAUAAGCUGUUUGCCACCUCAAAACUUUAUGAACUUCACCACCACUAGUGUCUGUCCAUGGAGUUAGAGGGGACAUCACUUAGAAGUUCUUAUAGAAAGGACACAAGUUUGUUUCCUGGCUUUACCUUGGGAAAAUGCUAGCAACAUUAUAGAAAUUUUGCCUUGUUGCCUUAUCUUCUUCCAAAUGUACUGUUAAAUAAAAAUAAAGGGUUACCCCAUGCAAUCACACCAUGCCAUGUUUUCCUUCCUGGAGGGCAGCCCCACAGGACGGUUUAUGAGCACACGAUUAUAGCUUGUUUCUACUUUAACAAGGUAUGCUGCCUCUGUAAAUUCAUGUAUUCAAAGGAAAAGACAUCUUGCCUAUAAUUAAAAUGUGGAACUAUAAAAUUUUUUAAAAUCCAA